UGGAGGGUUUGAUCCUGGCUCAGGGUGAACGCUGGCGGCGUGCUUAACACAUGCAAGUCGCGCGGGGAAACCCCUUCGGGGGGAGUACCAGCGGCGCACGGGUGAGUAACACGUGGGUAACCUACCCCUCAGCGGGGGAUAACCGGGGGAAACUCCGGCUAAUACCCCAUAUUAUCCGGUGACGACAGUUGCUGGAUGAAAGGAGCGUUUGCUUCGUUGAGGGAUGGGCCCGCGGCCCAUCAGGUAGUUGGUGAGGUAAUGGCUCACCAAGCCUAC
This 276-nucleotide ribosomal RNA is filed under the name Clostridia bacterium. RNAcentral's name for it is "partial 16S ribosomal RNA". It matches the Rfam family "Bacterial small subunit ribosomal RNA", at positions 1 to 277 of the family's 1533-position model. Lineage: Bacteria; Bacillati; Bacillota; Clostridia. The record is from RNAcentral.